RNAcentral lists this ribosomal RNA (496 nucleotides) under uncultured bacterium. RNAcentral's name for it is "partial 16S ribosomal RNA". It matches the Rfam family "Bacterial small subunit ribosomal RNA", at positions 28 to 506 of the family's 1533-position model. The record is from RNAcentral.
GAUGAACGCUGGCGGCGUGCCUAAUACAUGCAAGUCGAGCGAACAGACGAGGAGCUUGCUCCUCUGACGUUAGCGGCGGACGGGUGAGUAACACGUGGAUAACCUACCUAUAAGACUGGGAUAACUUCGGGAAACCGGAGCUAAUACCGGAUAAUAUAUUGAACCGCAUGGUUCAAUAGUGAAAGACGGUUUUGCUGUCACUUAUAGAUGGAUCCGCGCCGCAUUAGCUAGUUGGUAAGGUAACGGCUUACCAAGGCAACGAUGCGUAGCCGACCUGAGAGGGUGAUCGGCCACACUGGAACUGAGACGCGGUCCAGACACCUACGGGAGGCAGAAGUAGGGAAUCUUCCGCAAUGGGCGAAAGCCUGACGGAGCAACGCCGCGUGAGUGAUGAAGGUCUUCGGAUCGUAAAACUCUGUUAUUAGGGAAGAACAAAUGUGUAAGUAACUAUGCACGUCUUGACGGUACCUAAUCAGAAAGCCACGGCUAACUACGU